UACUCUCACCUUCUCUAAUGUUGCAUUGGAGAAAGUGGAUUUGGAUGCUGCCGCUUCGCUGUCAGGCUCAUCUCAAAUGGGUUAGCACAUCUCGCAGUUGGGCUUAGUACAGCGUGAUAAGUGUCUUCGCUGGCAUCUCUUUCGAGAUGGGUCCAAUUUGGAGCUCUGUGCUUCAAACCGUCUUAUAGACAAACUCUGACAAC
This 203-nucleotide unclassified non-coding RNA is filed under the name uncultured Sebacinaceae. RNAcentral describes it as "sequence contains ITS2". Lineage: Eukaryota; Fungi; Basidiomycota; Agaricomycetes; Sebacinales; Sebacinaceae. The record is from RNAcentral.